Molecule: long non-coding RNA, 1656 nt
Organism: Anopheles funestus (African malaria mosquito)
Lineage: Eukaryota; Metazoa; Arthropoda; Insecta; Diptera; Culicidae
Exons: 3
Source: RefSeq, a predicted model, not a curated record
AUCGAAUCUGGCGCUAGUUAGUAUGCGUUCGUACGCGGAACAGCUCGUUGUUUGCUAACGUUGCCACACCGAACCGAGGCAUGUCUUAUCUUAUCGCCAUACUCCAGAGUAUGCAAACAAAACAAGAACGUGAAUGACUGUGGAGGGUUUUGGAACCAUUGCGAAAGCGUUCGGUUUCAUUCAGUCAGCACCCGUAAACGCGAUGCGCGCUUCGCACUAGUGGUGUUAAUUUUACUUCGGAAUUUUUUGCGAACAGUUAUGUUGCGUCACAGCCUACUAUUGCUUUUGCCUCUUGUGCUGGUUUUGCUGAUAAGUGGCGUACCGUUUCGUCCAACCGUAGCCGACAGCACGGUACCAUUAGCAGAGCGCGCAGCGCGCCGCGUUAUCUUCUACAAGCCGGAACGUGACAAUAACGAGACGCAAACCGUCAACAAGUCGAACAUUUUCGAUCCACCAAAGGUCUGCAAGGAAGGUUAUCAGCUCGAUCGGCACUCCCGGUGUCGUCGAUUGAUGGGCUAGGGUUCUAGCGGCUCACCUACACCUACUUCCCACCCCCUCCCCGGGCGUGCCCAAGCAACCCAAGUGUGCGUAUAGCUGUCUACCAGGAGACAGCUGUCAGUGUGUCGUGCCGUAUAUUGGGGUCCAGUCUCGGUCAGAAUUUACGCCGCGAAAGUGUGCUCUCACGGCGGCAAACGGAUUGACCCGGAACGUAUACUUCACGCACACACACACCGACAUCAGCACGCCUGAAAACCCAAAGUGCCCCAAAAGACGAACCCACUCUAUCAUGAGAUCAUCAAAUCAAUUACCGCUAUUGCUGCUAGUACUUACCAUGGUACUCCUGGUACCGGCUGCCACCGGUGUGAGGGUAAUUUUUUGGCGUCCACUAUCACCACCUACCAGUACUACCGGCUUGAACAACGCGAACAUAUUGCGGUCACCUAAUCUGGCUGGCAGCAGCUGUGGGAACGGUCAAGUGACAGAUAGCCGCGGUAUCUGCCGUAGUACUAUAUCGUUCUAAAAACCAUACCGCUGCCGGUAGUUAAUUCUCGGAAAUCACAUCACGCCUUAUUAUCGGACAGGUGGUAAUUUCAAGAAACGAAAAAAAGGAUAAGGAUUCUGAUAGCUAAAGCGGCGACCUUCUAGGUUAAUGGGCCAAGUUCACUCACUGGUAUAGAUGGCACUCAAACAUGGGAAGAACAUGGCUAAACGAUGCUACAUCCUCAGGCUGAACAUCCUCAGUGAAGUGGAAGCGCUACUUAGACAAAACCUCAACUACCUAGUGUAAACGUAAUUACUAUUCUAUCGCUUGUUACCCAAGCAAAAACCCCAUACUGUUAAUCUGAAUAAAAGCUAAUAUAAACCGUUCUACUUCACAUCACUGUGCUUGCUGUUUUGCCUAUUAAUUAACCACGUGCGAGCUCAGCAUGUCACAAGAUAAAGGUUCUUUACACCGUUCCAUCGUACUGACCACUUAUCAUUCUUUAUUGACAUCGGUUCGCUUUCUUAUGCCUGGUGUUUCAUAUCUACCACGCUACACCGUGCCAACACACAAGGUCUCACAUAUUUCCCUCCACCUCCAUGUGACAAAUGCUCUACGAAAAUUUCGAACCAAUACCAGAAUGUUUCCUACCGUCUCCCUUCCAGCAUUGCACC